AGUGAACGCUGGCGGUAGGCCUAACACAUGCAAGUCGAACGGCAGCACAGUAAGAGCUUGCUCUUACGGGUGGCGAGUGGCGGACGGGUGAGGAAUACAUCGUAAUCUACUUUUUCGUGGGGGAUAACGUAGGGAAACUUACGCUCAUACCGCAUACGACCUACGGUUGAAAGCAGUGGAUCUUCGGACCUUGCGCGAAUGAAUGAGCCGAUGUCGGAUUAGCUAGUUGGCGGGGUAAAGGCCCACCAAGGCGACGAUCCGUAGCUGGUCUGGGAGGAUGAUCAGCCACACUGGAACUGAGACACGGUCCAGACUCCUACGGGAGGCAGCAGUGGGGAAUAUUGGACAAUGGGCGCAAGCCUGAUCCAGCCAUACCGCGUGGGUGAAGAAGGCCUUCGGGUUGUAAAGCCCUUUUGUUGGGAAAGAAAAGCAGCAGGUUAAUACCCCGCUGUUCUGACGGUACCCAAAGAAUAAGCACCGGCUAACUUCGUG
This 492-nucleotide ribosomal RNA is filed under the name uncultured bacterium. Its description in RNAcentral is "partial 16S ribosomal RNA". It matches the Rfam family "Bacterial small subunit ribosomal RNA", at positions 29 to 507 of the family's 1533-position model. The record is from RNAcentral.